GUGAUCAAUAGUAUAAAAAUAUAUUAUUUUCUAAUUUAAGCUUUUUAUGGUAAAAUAUUUCCUGAAUUUUUCCUGUACAAGUACUUAAGAUGAUUGCAUGGAUAUGUUCCCACUUCUCUAACAAUACAAAGUCUUUUGUUUAGUUCAUUAAAUAAGAAUUGUCUCACUCGAUCCAAUGUUCAAUUAGGUGCAUUGUUACUUUUAACAAUACUAGAACACACCCGGGACUUAGCAGGUCAUUGACUGAAUUAUAGUACAUGUGUACCUAUGCCUUAUUUUUAGCCUGGAUUUUUGGUAUUCGCUAUUUGCUGAUUAUAAGGUGCACAGUUUUCUCUGCCUUUAAAAUCUUUCUGUUUGAACCAGUCCUGGCUUUCUUACUACAUUGCAUACAACUAGAAACUAACACUUCAUGUGACAUAUGCUAUAGGUAUCUGUAUCAGUUCAACCCAGAACAUGUUAUAUUAUAAAUAUUGGAUUGACAUGCUCUGCAAUCAACAUUCAAAUAUGAAAACUGUGAAAAAUAUAAUAGAAAAAGGAAUAACAUGAAAUAGAUUCAGUGUUAAAGUUAUCUUUCAAAUUUAGUAUUUUCUCAUAGAUUUGUCACACAGAUAGUUUCAUAGAUAAGGUGCAUGCAUAUGUCAAUCAAAAUAUUUUCUUAAUUUUGGAUUCAUAAUAAAAAAUGGUAAACAUUUUCAUUAAUAGUUCAUAGGUAUUCAUCAGGUUCAUCAGAUUUAAGAAGAGGGUUAAAUGACAUUAUGAAAGCCUCAAAACAGGCUUUAAAUUAGUGCUUGGAGUUAAGGAAUCCAGUUAUCUCCUUUUUUUCAAGAGGAUAUCCAAUCUAUCUUGUUGUUAUCAAAAUCUUAAGAAUAUAAUGUACUUCCAUUUUACAUAUCUAUUAUAACCAAUUGGUAUAAAUCCAUUUAAACGUACUACAACUAUUAAUGUACAUUAUUUCAUUUUGUAAUUUGCAAUUGAAAAAGCAGCUGAUUUUUGAAUUUUUUUUUAAAUGUAUUUGAUAUUAGUUUUGCAAAGCAAAAUAUUUUUUGUUGAAAAUCAAAGUAUAUGUUUAAUGUAAUUUUUUUUAUGUCUAGUCAGCAAAAAUUGUAAAACUGGAAAUGAUGCACUGACAGUAUUGGUUAAGUCUCAACAUUUUAACUGUCGUUGCAAAAUUUUCCAUUUUUAUUAUUUUCGAGUCACUGUAAUUUUUAUGUAUUAAACCAGCACUGCCAUGUUUAUAAUUUUAAUGCAUUUAAAUAGAAUAUGAUACACCUAUAGAAAGUUUGUAAAUUUUUGCUUUGGAAUAAUUGUAUAUUUUUCAAACGUAUUUUUCCUUUUCUUCAAAAAGGUCAAUAUAUACUUUAUUGUGGAUAAAUAUUUUUGGCAGAGUUAAGGUGGUACCCAACACUUUCACUAAAAUUAAUUUGGCUCGUUUGAUUUUCAUAAAAUUUUGACAAAGUAUUUACUUUGAUCCUUUAACAAAAAUUGAAAAAAAAAAAAAUUUUGAACCAACCGUUUUGUCAAAAAAAUUACACUGGUUAUAUAGCAGUUUGACAAACACCAAUUUUGAUCAUUGAGAAGCUUAAGAUACUCUUUACAACACAACAUUAUUAAAACGUUUAUCUGACUUUACAGAGUUAUCUCCCUGUAGUGUUAGGUACCACCUUAAGUUCUUGAUUUAGUCUAGAUUCUGUAUUUUUGUUUAAAUUGCAAAAUUAUUCAUACCUUUAAAAGAUAAAUUUUAAUAACAAUUUUGUACGAAUAUAGACAUUUUGAUUAUUAUUUUCAAACUUCUCAGUUAUAACUUAUAUUUUACAGUUGAAACAAGAGUUAUCACACUGAAAGCAUCAUUGCUUAUUAUUGAAAAUAAGCGUAAAGUUCUUUACUUUUAAUCAACUCUGUAUAGAGUUAUUAGAGAAAUUUUGUCUAUGACAAAAAGUUGUAUUAAAAUACCAAAUUGUUAUAUUUUUGCCAAAAUCAAAUAUUUUAUAUAAAUAUAUAUUUUUUUUUGUUUUUUAACCAAAACAUUUAAUGAUGUCUGAAUAUUUUAAGAACCUUAGUUUUUUG
RNAcentral lists this long non-coding RNA (2064 nucleotides) under Mytilus galloprovincialis (Mediterranean mussel). The record is from RNAcentral. Lineage: Eukaryota; Metazoa; Mollusca; Bivalvia; Mytilida; Mytilidae.